AUGCAUUGGCUUUGCCCUUUGUUGAUUCAUGCAGCCAUCCUGUUUGAUAAAAUGUCGGCACCUGCAUCCAUUCCCUGUGGUUCCAAGAGUGUGCGAGGCAACGAUAACGGUGUCGACAGGCUCAGCAGCCUGCCCGACGAUCUGCUCCACCACGUGAUGUCCUUCCUGCCGACGCCGGAGGUCGUCCGCACAAGUCUUCUCUCACCAAGGUGGCGCAAUCUCUGGAGCUCUGCACCAUUUAUCCACAUCAACAACAAAGACUUCGUGGUUAAAACUGAUGUGGGCACUGCUUGCUUUGAUAACCACAAGCUGGAGAACUUCGUGGACCACUUACUGCUCUUGCGUGAUGGCACUGUUUCCUAG
Molecule: ribosomal RNA, 363 nt
Filed under: Triticum aestivum (bread wheat)
Lineage: Eukaryota; Viridiplantae; Streptophyta; Magnoliopsida; Poales; Poaceae
Description: partial small subunit ribosomal RNA
Source: RNAcentral